Molecule: ribosomal RNA, 396 nt
Filed under: uncultured bacterium
Lineage: Bacteria
Description: partial 16S ribosomal RNA
Rfam family: Bacterial small subunit ribosomal RNA
Source: RNAcentral
AUACGGAGGAUGCAAGCGUUAUCCGGAUUUAUUGGGUUUAAAGGGUGCGUAGGCUGACGUGUAAGUCAGAGGUGAAAUCUCUGGGCUCAACCCGGAAACUGCUUUUGAAACUGUCGCCCUUGAGUAUCGGAGAGGCAGGGGGGAUUUCUAGAGGAGCGGUGAAAAGCGUAGAUAUUAGGAGGAAAACCAGUGGCGAAGGCGGCCUGCUGGACGACAACUGACGCUGAGGCGCGAAAGCGUGGGGAGCAAACAGGAUUAGAUACCCUGGUAGUCCACGCCGUAAACGAUGGAUACUAGGUGUGGGGGAACUGACCCCCUCCGUGCCGCAGUAAACACAAUAAGUAUCCCACCUGGGGAGUACGACCGCAAGGUUGAAACUCAAAGGAAUUGACGGGG